This 813-nucleotide ribosomal RNA is filed under the name Ruegeria meonggei. RNAcentral's name for it is "bacterial SSU rRNA". It matches the Rfam family "Bacterial small subunit ribosomal RNA", at positions 11 to 870 of the family's 1533-position model. The record is from RNAcentral. Lineage: Bacteria; Pseudomonadati; Pseudomonadota; Alphaproteobacteria; Rhodobacterales; Roseobacteraceae.
GUUUGAUUCAUGGCUCAGAACGAACGCUGGCGGCAGGCCUAACACAUGCAAGUCGAGCGCGCCUUUCGGGGUGAGCGGCGGACGGGUUAGUAACGCGUGGGAAUAUACCCUUUGGUACGGAAUAGCCUCUGGAAACGGAGAGUAAUACCGUAUGAGCCCUUCGGGGGAAAGAUUUAUCGCCAAAGGAUUAGCCCGCGUUAGAUUAGGUAGUUGGUGGGGUAAUGGCCUACCAAGCCUACGAUCUAUAGCUGGUUUUAGAGGAUGAUCAGCAACACUGGGACUGAGACACGGCCCAGACUCCUACGGGAGGCAGCAGUGGGGAAUCUUGGACAAUGGGCGCAAGCCUGAUCCAGCCAUGCCGCGUGAGUGAUGAAGGCCUUAGGGUCGUAAAGCUCUUUCGCCUGUGAAGAUAAUGACGGUAGCAGGUAAAGAAACCCCGGCUAACUCCGUGCCAGCAGCCGCGGUAAUACGGAGGGGGUUAGCGUUGUUCGGAAUUACUGGGCGUAAAGCGCACGUAGGCGGACUGGAAAGUAUGGGGUGAAAUCCCAGGGCUCAACCCUGGAACUGCCUCAUAAACUAUCAGUCUAGAGUUCGAGAGAGGUGAGUGGAAUUCCGAGUGUAGAGGUGAAAUUCGUAGAUAUUCGGAGGAACACCAGUGGCGAAGGCGGCUCACUGGCUCGAUACUGACGCUGAGGUGCGAAAGUGUGGGGAGCAAACAGGAUUAGAUACCCUGGUAGUCCACACCGUAAACGAUGAAUGCCAGUCGUCGGGUAGCAUGCUAUUCGGUGACACACCUAACGGAUUAAGCAUUCC